ACGACAUAUCUUUGGGCAGGCGCGCCAAAAGCGCCUAACAGGGAAUCCCGUGAAAACCGGGAGCGGGCCCGCCGCUGUGAACGGGGACGAAAGCCGCACGCGAAGCCACUGGCCGGACAGGCCGGGAAGGCGCGGCGAUUAGAACGAUCCGUGAGCCAGAAGACCUGCCUGCCCAAAUAAAACGUC
This 186-nucleotide non-coding RNA is filed under the name Desulfarculus baarsii. RNAcentral also lists the same sequence under 1 other name. Lineage: Bacteria; Pseudomonadati; Thermodesulfobacteriota; Desulfarculia; Desulfarculales; Desulfarculaceae. The record is from RNAcentral.